GACGAACGCUGGCGGCGUGCUUAACACAUGCAAGUCGAACGGUAAGGCCCUUCGGGGUACACGAGUGGCGAACGGGUGAGUAACACGUGGGUGAUCUGCCUGCACUUCGGGAUAAGCCUGGGAAACUGGGUCUAAUACCGGAUAGGACCAUGGACUUCACGGUUUGUGGUGGAAAGCUUUUGCGGUGUGGGAUGGGCCCGCGGCCUAUCAGCUUGUUGGUGGGGUAAUGGCCUACCAAGGCGACGACGGGUAGCCGGCCUGAGAGGGUGUCCGGCCACACUGGGACUGAGAUACGGCCCAGACUCCUACGGGAGGCAGCAGUGGGGAAUAUUGCACAAUGGGCGCAAGCCUGAUGCAGCGACGCCGCGUGA
This 371-nucleotide ribosomal RNA is filed under the name uncultured bacterium. Its description in RNAcentral is "bacterial SSU rRNA". It matches the Rfam family "Bacterial small subunit ribosomal RNA", at positions 28 to 404 of the family's 1533-position model. The record is from RNAcentral.